AUGCGCCUCCACUUCCACGACUGCUUCGUGCAGGGCUGCGACGCCUCGCUGCUGCUGGACACCUUCGACGGCAUGGAGACGGAGAAGGACGCGACUCCCAACAAGGGCUCCGCGCGCGGCUACAACGUCGUUGACGCCGCCAAGGCCGCCCUGGAGGCCGCCUGCCCCGGCGUCGUCUCCUGCGCCGACAUCCUCGCCAUCGCCGCCGAGAUCUCGGUCGAGCUGUCCGGAGGACCCGGAUGGGGUGUGUUGCUGGGGAGGCUAGACGGCUUCACUUCCAACUUUCAAGAAGCCGGGAACCUACCAGGACCAUUCGACGGCCUGCCGCUGCUGAAGCAAAAGUUCGUGAACCUCGGGCUUGACAACACCGACCUCGUCGCCCUCUCAGGCGCCCACACUUUCGGCCGUGUGCAAUGCCAGUUCGUCACGGACCGAUGCCCAAGGAAUGGCGUUGGAUCGUCCCUGAAUGACUUUGACCCGACGACCCCCGACAGGUUCGACAAGAACUACUUCACCAACCUCGAGGUGAAUCGUGGUUUCCUCCAGUCAGACCAGGAACUCAAGUCGGACCCCGGCGCGGCAGGGACGACGGCACCCAUCGUCGACCGGUUUGCGGGCAGCCAGGACGCCUUCUUCAAGGCCUUCGCGCAGUCGAUGAUCAAGAUGGGAAACCUGGGGCCGAUAAGGAACCCCUCCCAGGGAGAAGUCCGAAACCGUUGCGCGUUUGUCAAUCCGGAUUAG
This 741-nucleotide ribosomal RNA is filed under the name Triticum aestivum (bread wheat). RNAcentral's name for it is "partial small subunit ribosomal RNA". Lineage: Eukaryota; Viridiplantae; Streptophyta; Magnoliopsida; Poales; Poaceae. The record is from RNAcentral.